Molecule: ribosomal RNA, 206 nt
Filed under: uncultured bacterium
Lineage: Bacteria
Description: partial 16S ribosomal RNA
Rfam family: Bacterial small subunit ribosomal RNA
Source: RNAcentral
GGAUUGCAGGCUGCAACUCGCCUGCAUGAAGCUGGAAUUGCUAGUAAUCGCGGAUCAGCAAGCCGCGGUGAAUACGUUCCCGGGCCUUGUACACACCGCCCGUCACACCAUGAGAGUCGGGAACACCCGAAGUCCGUAGUCUAACCGCAAGGGGGGCGCGGCCGAAGGUGGGUCCGGUAAUUGGGGUGAAGUCGUAACAAGGUAAC